Molecule: long non-coding RNA, 597 nt
Organism: Ixodes scapularis (black-legged tick)
Lineage: Eukaryota; Metazoa; Arthropoda; Arachnida; Ixodida; Ixodidae
Exons: 3
Source: RefSeq, a predicted model, not a curated record
UUGGGAACCCUGAUUCUGGCCUGCAGGAGAACGUCCUUGGAUCUGUGCUCUCGAUCAGUGGGAAUGCCGCCGAAAUGGAGAAGCUGCCUCUGACCCCAGCUAAAAAGAGGCUUUGUGCCCUGGAUGCCUUCAGAGGGUUGUCUCUAGUGUUGAUGGUGUUUGUGAACUACGGUGGAGGGAAAUCCUGGUUCUUCCACCAUUCCCCAUGGAACGGCCUGACAGUAGCAGAUCUUGUGAUUCCAUGGUCGAUCUGGUCGGCCGGAGAAAGGGCCGGGCAACCCUCGGGGACCGGAGCGAGGAGGCCGGCAGGAAGAGCUGACGAGUCCAAGGACGUCGAAGGUCUGACCCAGGGCAAGGACGCCGUCCAGGUCGACGGGUCAAGCGGAGAGGCGCCCCGUGGCGACCGACGCCGCUCGCGGCGGCCUUCGGCGGUGGGCGCGACCCCGACACCAGUUACUCUCUGCGCUCUACGGAGGAUUUUACUUUUUUUACAAAGAUACCCGCUGCGCCGUUAAGCAUUAUGCAAAGGGGUGCAUAAAGAAAAAACGCAUUCAAAGAACAUUUUAAAAGUACUAGCAACAAUAAAAAAAGUGCAAC